UAAAAAUUAGUUAAUAACCUAUAACAUAAGUUUGUCAAACUUAAAUAAUUUUAUAAAUAUUUUUAU
This 66-nucleotide transfer RNA is filed under the name Astacus astacus (noble crayfish). RNAcentral describes it as "tRNA-Asp". Lineage: Eukaryota; Metazoa; Arthropoda; Malacostraca; Decapoda; Astacidae. The record is from RNAcentral.